RNAcentral lists this ribosomal RNA (459 nucleotides) under uncultured bacterium. RNAcentral describes it as "partial 16S ribosomal RNA". It matches the Rfam family "Bacterial small subunit ribosomal RNA", at positions 339 to 795 of the family's 1533-position model. The record is from RNAcentral.
CUACGGGUUGCUCCAGUGAGGAAUAUUGGACAAUGGGCGAAAGCCUGAUCCAGCCAUGCCGCGUGCAGGAUGACAGCCCUACGGGUCGUAAACUGCUUUUAUACAGGAAUAAACCCCCUUACGUGUAAGGGGCUGAAUGUACUGUAAGAAUAAGGAUCGGCUAACUCCGUGCCAGCAGCCGCGGUCAUACGGAGGAUCCAAGCGUUAUCCGGAUUCAUUGGGUUUAAAGGGUCCGCAGGCGGAUUAUUAAGUCAGUGGUGAAAUGCUGUCGCUUAACGAUAGCACUGCCAUUGAUACUGGUAAUCUUGAGUAUAGUUGAGGUGGGCGGAAUAAGUCAUGUAGCGGUGAAAUGCAUAGAUAUGACUUAGAACACCGAUUGCGAAGGCAGCUCACUAAGCUAUUACCGACGCUCAGGGACGAAAGCGUGGGGAGCGAACAGGAUUAGAUACCCGAGUAGUC